CCCUUAGAUGUUCUGGGCCGCACGCGCGCUACACUGAUGCAUUCAACGAGUCUAAAACCUGGUCUGAUAGGGCUGGGUAAUCUUUUGAAAGUGCAUCGUGAUUGGGAUAGAUGAUUGCAAUUCUUCAUCUUCAACGAGGAAUGCCUAGUAAACGCAAGUCAUCAGCUUGCAUUGAUUACGUCCCUGCCCUUUGUACACACCGCCCGUCGCUACUACCGAUUGGGAAAAUUUUAGAGAGUCCUGGACUGAUGAUUGUUCGGCUUCACGGCCUUACUUUCGUCGGGAAAGAAUUCGAUAACAUUUUUCUAGAGGAAGUAAAAGUCGUAACA
This 329-nucleotide ribosomal RNA is filed under the name uncultured eukaryote. Its description in RNAcentral is "partial 18S ribosomal RNA". It matches the Rfam family "Eukaryotic small subunit ribosomal RNA", at positions 1470 to 1796 of the family's 1831-position model. The record is from RNAcentral.